UGCAGGCAAGAGCCGAAACACGUCCGGUUCGUUACGCCAAGCUCACUCACUCACUCACUCACUCACUGGCCGAGCCACCAAUCCCAGACAACAACUCUCUCCUCGUCCGUCCGUCCGUCCGUCCGUUCGUCACACGUUCACUGCUGCACCAAAGCGCAGGGGACUGCAAACCUGUAACUUCCGUAUGUCCUCCACCUAAGAGGUCGUUGGCACUGCAAAUACCUUGUCAACGACUGCACUAAAGUGUCUCAGAUGUUCUUUGUUCUCGAGAGCAGAGCAGAGCAGAGCAGAGCAGAGCAGAGCAGAGAAACGAGACGUUUUAGGAGCAACGUAGGCGUAUUGGAUGACAAUGUGCUGAUUCUUCCACCUUUUGUGUGUUUGCUCUUCGUUCGUUCGUGAUACUUGCUCCGUUACACUGGAGAAUCAGUCGCAGUGAGCAAGGCGUUGUACUUUCACUCUUCUCUCGAAUACUUCAUUCCCGAAGUCCCUGAAAUGUCGGAGUGAUACUGGAAACCAUCUGAAGCGCCUAUAGAAGAAAGGAGCUGUGAGAUAAGCCACGCAGACUUGGCCAAGAAAGGCGAGACAGAAGUGGCACAUUCUCUCUGGGCAGUCCUCGGACGGCGAUCCGGGAGCGUGACCCCUGACCCCUGACCCCUGGAGCUACGAGAGCACGUUCUCGGACGACAGGCAGCAAACAAGAAAGUCCUCAGAGCAAACACUGAGACUGCUAAGGUGGCGCUCGAUAAUUAUUGACCUGCACGUGUUGACCACUAGACUACAGAAAGGUGAGCUUACUUUUUAUGAGUGGGGCU
Molecule: long non-coding RNA, 812 nt
Organism: Aplysia californica (California sea hare)
Lineage: Eukaryota; Metazoa; Mollusca; Gastropoda; Aplysiida; Aplysiidae
Exons: 4
Source: RefSeq, a predicted model, not a curated record